Molecule: ribosomal RNA, 492 nt
Filed under: uncultured bacterium
Lineage: Bacteria
Description: partial 16S ribosomal RNA
Rfam family: Bacterial small subunit ribosomal RNA
Source: RNAcentral
AGUGAACGCUGGCGGUAGGCCUAACACAUGCAAGUCGAACGGCAGCACAGUAAGAGCUUGCUCUUACGGGUGGCGAGUGGCGGACGGGUGAGGAAUACAUCGGAAUCUACUUUUUCGUGGGGGAUAACGUAGGGAAACUUACGCUAAUACCGCAUACGACCUACGGGUGAAAGCAGGGGAUCUUCGGACCUUGCGCGAUUGAAUGAGCCGAUGUCGGAUUAGCUAGUUGGCGGGGUAAAGGCCCACCAAGGCGACGAUCCGUAGCUGGGCUGAGAGGAUGAUCGGCCACACUGGAACUGAGACACGGUCCAGACUCCUACGGGAGGCAGCAGUGGGGAAUAUUGGACAAUGGGCGCAAGCCUGAUCCAGCCAUGCCGCGUGGGUGAAGAAGGCCUUCGGGUUGUAAAGCCCUUUUGUUGGGAAAGAAAAGCAGCAGGUUAAUACCCCGCUGUUCUGACGGUACCCAAAGAAUAAGCACCGGCUAACUUCGUG